This 207-nucleotide ribosomal RNA is filed under the name uncultured bacterium. RNAcentral's name for it is "partial 16S ribosomal RNA". It matches the Rfam family "Bacterial small subunit ribosomal RNA", at positions 568 to 774 of the family's 1533-position model. The record is from RNAcentral.
CGCGUAGGUGGUUUGUUAAGUUGGAUGUGAAAGCCCCGGGCUCAACCUGGGAACUGCAUCCAAAACUGGCAAGCUAGAGUACGGUAGAGGGUGGUGGAAUUUCCUGUGUAGCGGUGAAAUGCGUAGAUAUAGGAAGGAACACCAGUGGCGAGGGCGACCACCUGGACUGAUACUGACACUGAGGUGCGAAAGCGUGGGGAGCAAACA